This is a long non-coding RNA of Pseudophryne corroboree (corroboree frog), 672 nucleotides long. RefSeq lists it as uncharacterized. Lineage: Eukaryota; Metazoa; Chordata; Amphibia; Anura; Myobatrachidae. The record is from RefSeq and is a predicted model, not a curated record. The transcript is spliced from 4 exons.
CCCAAUUAGGGUGGAAAUGCACGGCAGCAGGUGGACUUGGUCACUAUCUGUAUACAGCAAGGAGGCAGUGUUUGGGAGCAACAGGAGAAGAGCGGUACAGUCCGGUGGCGCUGCAGUGCUGGGAGUCUCAUGGGGAGAGGACAGCUAGAGGUAGUGAUUCAGCAUCUGUGCAUAGAACGGCAUCCUGAGGAUCCGGCAGAGGAGGCUGCUGUACUUCCUGGAUCCACCGCAGCCAAGCACACAGCAGCGUGUGCUAGACUGGGGAGAGAGGCUGCUGCUACUGGCUGACAGAUCAGACUCGACACCACUGAGUCUGAGUUCUCAUCUUAAAUUGAACAAGAAAAGACAGUGGAGUAACUUGAAGACCUGACUUCAGGAAAUUACCAGAUUACUGCAAGACCACAAUGAAAAACAGUAUCUGUUCACACUUUUAUAGGCACAGACUGAAAUGGAUGUAUGGACAAGAUCUUUUUCAAGAAAGGCAGUACGAUAUCAUUUAUUUCGUGAUAUACAAUCAUUAAACAAUGCCUAAAAGGAAUACAAAGAUGAGAGAAGACUCAGCCUCCCAGGCCCCUUGAUGAUGGCAGAAAAUCUAUAUAAACAGGGCUUCAGUUACCCCAUUCACAUAGUGACUAUAGUGUACAAUCAAUCUUAUUCUUAUGAUGCUUAAUA